Molecule: ribosomal RNA, 433 nt
Filed under: uncultured bacterium
Lineage: Bacteria
Description: partial 16S ribosomal RNA
Rfam family: Bacterial small subunit ribosomal RNA
Source: RNAcentral
AACGAACGCUGGCGGCAUGCCUAACACAUGCAAGUCGAACGAGACCUUCGGGUCUAGUGGCGCACGGGUGCGUAACGCGUGGGAACCUGCCCUUAGGUUCGGAAUAACUCCCCGAAAGGGGUGCUAAUACCGGAUAAUGUCUUCGGACCAAAGAUUUAUCGCCUUUGGAUGGGCCCGCGUUGGAUUAGCUAGUUGGUAGGGUAAAAGCCUACCAAGGCGACGAUCCAUAGCUGGUCUGAGAGGAUGAUCAGCCGCACUGGGACUGAGACACGGCCCAGACUCGUACGGGAGGCAGCAGUGGGGAAUAUUGGACAAUGGGCGAAAGCCUGAUCCAGCAAUGCCGCGUGAGUGAUGAAGGCCUUAGGGUUGUAAAGCUCUUUUACCCGGGAUGAUAAUGACAGUACCGGGAGAAUAAGCUCCGGCUAACUCCGUG